GGGCCCGUAGCUCAGCUUGGUAGAGCAGCAGGCUCAUAACCGGCAGGGGAACGGCCAGGGGUUCAAGUCCCCUCGGGCCCACCA
Molecule: transfer RNA, 84 nt
Filed under: Candidatus Thorarchaeota archaeon
Lineage: Archaea; Promethearchaeati; Candidatus Thorarchaeota
Description: tRNA-Met
Rfam family: tRNA
About the family: Transfer RNA (tRNA) molecules are approximately 80 nucleotides in length. Their secondary structure includes four short double-helical elements and three loops (D, anti-codon, and T loops). Further hydrogen bonds mediate the characteristic L-shaped molecular structure. tRNAs have two regions of fundamental functional importance: the anti-codon, which is responsible for specific mRNA codon recognition, and the 3' end, to which the tRNAs corresponding amino acid is attached (by aminoacyl-tRNA synthetases). tRNAs cope with the degeneracy of the genetic code in two manners: having more than one tRNA (with a specific anti-codon) for a particular amino acid; and 'wobble' base-pairing, i.e. permitting non-standard base-pairing at the 3rd anti-codon position.
Source: RNAcentral